AUGUGUACAUACUUAUACACUAGUAUGGUCUCUCAUGAUUUUAUAUUCAGUCUUGCGGAUAUGGAUGUUGGAUUGUAUUUUUGAAGGUGCAUGAAUCAUGUUGUCACAGUUAAUGAAGAUUGUUGGAAAUGGAUACAAUGCAGAGAUGAUUACCUCUUGAUUAUUCUAUUUAUAAAUGGUGGAUGUCACUAGGGUUGAAGAUUAUCACAUUGAUGUCUAAGAGACAGGUAAAAGCUCUUAUGGACAAGAUCAUUAGUCCCAUAUCCAGGACUCCAUUUGGAAGACGAAGAAAUCAACGC
This is a long non-coding RNA of Papaver somniferum (opium poppy), 299 nucleotides long. RefSeq lists it as uncharacterized. The record is from RefSeq and is a predicted model, not a curated record. The transcript has 3 exons. Lineage: Eukaryota; Viridiplantae; Streptophyta; Magnoliopsida; Ranunculales; Papaveraceae.